Molecule: ribosomal RNA, 234 nt
Filed under: uncultured bacterium
Lineage: Bacteria
Description: partial 16S ribosomal RNA
Rfam family: Bacterial small subunit ribosomal RNA
Source: RNAcentral
GCAAAUCUCAAAAAAACAAUCUCAGUUCAGACUGCAGGCUGCAACUCGCCUGCACGAAGUCGGAAUUGCUAGUAAUCGUAGGUCAGCAUACUACGGUGAAUACGUUCCCGGGCCUUGUACACACCGCCCGUCAAACCAUGAGAGUUGGCAACACCCGAAGUCGGUAGUCUAACCGCAAGGAGGACGCCGCCGAAGGUGGGGUUGAUGAUUAGGGUUAAGUCGUAACAAGGUAAC